Molecule: ribosomal RNA, 292 nt
Filed under: uncultured Staphylococcus sp.
Lineage: Bacteria; Bacillati; Bacillota; Bacilli; Caryophanales; Staphylococcaceae
Description: partial 16S ribosomal RNA
Rfam family: Bacterial small subunit ribosomal RNA
Source: RNAcentral
GUGUCAGCCGCCGCGGUAAUACGUAGGUGGCAAGCGUUAUCCGGAAUUAUUGGGCGUAAAGCGCGCGUAGGCGGUUUUUUAAGUCUGAUGUGAAAGCCCCCGGCUCAACCGUGGAGGGUCAUUGGAAACUGGACAACUUGAGUGCAGAAGAGGAAAGUGGAAUUCCCUGUGUAGCGGUGAAAUGCGCAGAGAUAUGGAGGAACACCAGUGGCGAAGGCGACUUUCUGGUCUGUAACUGACGCUGAUGUGCGAAAGCGUGGGGAUCAAACAGGAUUAGAAACCCUCGUAGUCC